This 318-nucleotide ribosomal RNA is filed under the name Triticum aestivum (bread wheat). RNAcentral describes it as "partial small subunit ribosomal RNA". The record is from RNAcentral. Lineage: Eukaryota; Viridiplantae; Streptophyta; Magnoliopsida; Poales; Poaceae.
AUGGUGAAGAUCGCCGCUGCCUGCUGGAGCUUGAAGAUGACCACCAUCCAUUUGGACAGUCGGAUCGCUCACAAACGGCGUCGUCAGAAUGGUAAGAUCUUGCUGGCUACCACAGUCGGGAGAGGCGGCGGCAGCGUGGCACGCACACCGUCGGCGUGUAGGUCGAUGGCACCUGCCACGUUCAGCCUCCCCGAGGAGCGAGGGCAAGUGUAUACGACGAAACACCGGCAAUCAGCUUCACGGGGUCGCCUAGUCUUCUGUCUUGAAAAGAACAAGCAUCGGCUUGCUUUCUUUGCGACCAAAAAGAGGACAACAUAG